This 1188-nucleotide long non-coding RNA is filed under the name Nicotiana benthamiana. Its description in RNAcentral is "long non-coding RNA (NBEN_LNC033154)". Lineage: Eukaryota; Viridiplantae; Streptophyta; Magnoliopsida; Solanales; Solanaceae. The record is from RNAcentral.
AGGGGGAUGAUUAAUUUGAAUUAACCCUGGGAUUGCCAGUUUAGAAAAUAACACCAGUGCUAGUUAACAAAGCUUAAAACCAAAUCCUAUGUGCUUGUAAUCAUUUGAACGCAAUUCCAAUCAACCAUUUUAAUCCCUAAUUCUGCAUUAUAGCAUAGUAAUAUUAACAUCAAUCUAACAGAAUAGGUAAGGCUUGGACUUCCAAUAUCAUUUCAUGCUAUUCUGUCCAACUAGUCCAGUGGUUCGUGUCCAAUCACCACCUUAAAAAAACUGAAACAAUCCAAUUGCUUACAAUGUCCAAAUACCUAUGUUAGAACAAAGCAUUUUCAGUCUAAUUACAGUCUAAGCAUUCAGAAAUCAGAUAAGAUUAAACCGUCCAAUUACAGCUCAUUCAAAUUCAGGCUGUCCAAGCAGUUAUUCUGCAAAAAAAAAUAUUUUCAACCACAUUCAUUUAAAUGGCAACUUUCAAAUUAUAGACAUCAUCCAAACGAGCUUAGAUCUGGUGGAACGUUCUUAUUUCAGCUUCAAAUACAUCGAUAUAGAUGAAGGAAUGUACCUGGAUAUUGCAAAAUAAGAAGGAAAAUAAGGUUAGCACAGCAGAUGGCAAUCAGCAAUAGUCCCCGCGAUCACAUUCACCCCAGAAAUAACUCAGGAGUCCAAAACCAUUUUUAAAACCAAAAAGAGACUAGUGUUGCAAACCAAACACAGCAACAGAAUGCACACGAUGAACCCAAUACCACUUGGAACCUUCAACAGCCAGAAAUUCAGCUCAAACUAACCUAGUUGAACCCAAAAAUCAUACAGACUUGACUGAAAUUGGACUGGGAGAAUUACGCCACUAAAAUCAACAAACAAUUGCUAGAACACAUUCAAACACACUCAAAACUAAACCCAAGUGACCCAAUAUCUUUUCAGUCAGUAGAAAAUCCAACGAUGGUUUGAAUAUGCUUUUUGAAUUACUCUAAUGUCCAUGAAGAUGAAAAUUACUAGAGAAAACGAUGAAACAGUACCCUUUUUGAUUUUCUGAAGCUUUCGUAUUUAUUUUUUUGUUUUUAUUUUGAAGAUUUAAAGUUUGGAUGUUAAAUUUCAGAUCUGAAACAUAAGAGGAAGGCAGGGAAUUUUGUGAGGCUCCAAACUUGUUCAAGAAGGCAUUAGAGGUGCCUUUUUAUAGGCCAAAAGAGGGCAUCC